Molecule: ribosomal RNA, 449 nt
Filed under: uncultured prokaryote
Description: bacterial SSU rRNA
Rfam family: Bacterial small subunit ribosomal RNA
Source: RNAcentral
UGGGGAAUAUUGGACAAUGGGCGAAAGCCUGAUCCAGCCAUGCCGCGUGUGUGAAGAAGGUCUUCGGAUUGUAAAGCACUUUAAGUUGGGAGGAAGGGUUGUAGAUUAAUACUCUGCAAUUUUGACGUUACCGACAGAAUAAGCACCGGCUAACUCUGUGCCAGCAGCCGCGGUAAUACAGAGGGUGCAAGCGUUAAUCGGAAUUACUGGGCGUAAAGCGCGCGUAGGUGGUUUGUUAAGUUGGAUGUGAAAUCCCCGGGCUCAACCUGGGAACUGCAUCCAAAACUGGCAAGCUAGAGUAUGGUAGAGGGUGGUGGAAUUUCCUGUGUAGCGGUGAAAUGCGUAGAUAUAGGAAGGAACACCAGUGGCGAAGGCGACCACCUGGACUGAUACUGACACUGAGGUGCGAAAGCGUGGGGAGCAAACAGGAUUAGAUACCCCCGUAGUCC